This 75-nucleotide transfer RNA is filed under the name Deinococcus ficus. RNAcentral's name for it is "tRNA-Arg". Lineage: Bacteria; Thermotogati; Deinococcota; Deinococci; Deinococcales; Deinococcaceae. The record is from RNAcentral.
GCCCGCGUGGUGUUCGGCGCGCGCGAGGGCGGCUUCGGGCUGCUCUCGGCCGCGUUCGGCAUCGGGGCGAUGGCC